RNAcentral lists this unclassified non-coding RNA (641 nucleotides) under Arabidopsis thaliana (thale cress). The record is from RNAcentral. Lineage: Eukaryota; Viridiplantae; Streptophyta; Magnoliopsida; Brassicales; Brassicaceae.
GUGUGUUUAACAUUAAUGUUUUUCAGUUUCGCUACCCUCUUCAUCUUCCUAUCUAGAGUUUAAAAGCAUACUUUAAAGAUGAGAAUCAAUGUAGAUGUGAAUUUCAAGUGUCAGCCGAUUGCAAAGGUUUUCAGUCUCACUUACAAUCUCCUCUAAACAGAUCUGGUGCAUCUCACAUUCGAUUUCUUUUUAAGAUUCAUUACACUUUGAAAGUAGAACAUGCCUCUCGAAGUGGACUACGAGAAAGAAUUGGUGAGGACGUAGAAAAAGAUGAAGCAAAAUCUGAAAUCUAAAUCUCCCUCUACUACAACUUUGAAGAUAAAGCGCAAGAACUCCUACACGAUUAGAUAUACAUUGGAUCUAUAAAGUUUUGAAAGUGAGAUGCAGUGUUGAAAAAUCAGAACCAGUGAAUGAAGAUGUGGAAGAAGAAGGUCAACAAUGGAGAAAGGGGAACUUGAAAAUCAAGCAUAGUCAAAAUAUACUCUUUGAAGAAACUACAAACGAGACUAGAGCGUGAGAAGGUUAAAAGAACAAACUAGAUAUAGCAGAAACUACAAACUAGAUAUCCAUAUAACACUUGUACAUGUUUGAACCGAAAUGUGUUAAAAAGAGUAUAUACUAAACGAGAUCAUUUUUAGUAG